This 304-nucleotide ribosomal RNA is filed under the name Schmidingerella taraikaensis. RNAcentral describes it as "partial Bacterial large subunit ribosomal RNA". It matches the Rfam family "Bacterial large subunit ribosomal RNA", at positions 2222 to 2525 of the family's 2925-position model. Lineage: Eukaryota; Ciliophora; Spirotrichea; Tintinnida; Rhabdonellidae. The record is from RNAcentral.
CUAACCGCGGCCCGUUAUCCGGGUCCGGGACCCUGCGUGGUGGGUAGUUUGACUGGGGCGGUCUCCUCCUAAAGAGUAACGGAGGAGCACGAAGGUGCGCUAAUCACGGUCGGAAAUCGUGAGGUUAGUGUAAAGGCACAAGCGCGCUUGACUGUGAGUCUGACAAGACGAACAGGUACGAAAGUAGGUCUUAGUGAUCCGGUGGUUCUGUAUGGAAGGGCCAUCGCUCAACGGAUAAAAGGUACGCCGGGGAUAACAGGCUGAUGGUGCCCAAGAGUCCAUAUCGACGGCACCGUUUGGCACC